UGAAUCCUUCAGGUGGACUCAAGACUGCAAUCGCGUGUCGCCCUUAGAGUUUGAUCCUGGCUCAGGACAAACGCUGGCGGCGUGCGUAAAACAUGCAAGUCGAACGGACCCUUCGGGGUCAGUGGCAGACGGCUGAGUAACACGUAAGCGACCUACCCGGAAGUGGGGAAUAACUGCUCGAAAGAGUGGCUAAUACCGCAUGAGCCCCCCCGUUCGCUCGGGGGGGGAAAGCCGUAAGGCGCCUCCGGAUGGGCUUGCGGCCGAUUAGCUAGUUGGCGGGGUAAAGGCCCACCAAGGCGAUGAUCGGUAGCUGGUCUGAGAGGAUGAUCAGCCAGACUGGGACUGGGACACGGCCCAGACUCCUACGGGAGGCAGCAGUUAGGGAUCUUGCGCAAUGGCCGAAAGGCUGACGCAGCAACGCCGCGUGGGGGAAGAAGGCCUUCGGGUCGUAAACCCCUUUUCUGGGGGAAGAUAAUGACGGUACCCCAGGAAUAAGCCCCGGCUAACUACGUGCCAGCAGCCGCGGUAAUACGUAGGGGGCGAGCGUUGUCCGGAUUUAUUGGGCGUAAAGAGCGCGUAGGCGGUUUGUCGCGUCUGCUGUGAAAAUCCGGGGCUCAACCCCGGACUUGCAGUGGGUACGGGCAGACUAGAGUGUGGUAGGGGAGACUGGAAUUCCUGGUGUAGCGGUGAAAUGCGCAGAUAUCAGGAGGAACACCGAUGGCGAAGGCAGGUCUCUGGGCCACUACUGACGCUGAGAAGCGAAAGCAUGGGGAGCGAACAGGAUUAGAUACCCUGGUAGUCCAUGCCGUAAACGUUGGGCGCUAGGUGUGGGACUCAUUCCACGAGUUCCGUGCCGCAGCUAACGCAUUAAGCACCCCGCCUGGGGAGUACGGCCGCAAGGCUAAAACUCAAAGGAAUUGACGGGGGCCCGCACAAGCAGCGGAGCGUGUGGUUUAAUUCGAUGCAACGCGAAGAACCUUACCCAGGCUUGACAUGCACCCGAAAGCCCCGGAAACGGGGCCCCGCAAGGCGGGUGCACAGAUGCUGCAUGGCUGUCGUCAGCUCGUGUCGUGAGAUGUUGGGUUAAGUCCCGCAACGAGCGCAACCCUCGCUGCCAGUUGAUUACUCUGGCGGGACCGCCGGGACAAACCCGGAGGAAGGUGGGGAUGACGUCAAGUCAGCACGGCUCUUACGCCUGGGGCUACACACACGCUACAAUGGCCGGUACAGAGGGUUGCCAAGCCGCGAGGCGGAGCAAAUCCCAAAAAGCCGGUCUCAGUUCGGAUUGCAGGCUGCAACUCGCCUGCAUGAAGUCGGAGUUGCUAGUAACCGCAGGUCAGCACACUGCGGUGAAUACGUUCCCGGGCCUUGUACACACCGCCCGUCACGUCAUGAAAGUUGGAUACGCCUGAAGCCGGUGGGCCAACCGCAAGGGGGCAGCCGUCGAGGGUGGAGUCAGCGAUUGGGACGAAGUCGUAACAAGGUAACCAAGGGCGACACGCGAUUGCAGUGUAACACGAGUGAUCCUGAGUU
This 1533-nucleotide ribosomal RNA is filed under the name uncultured bacterium. Its description in RNAcentral is "bacterial SSU rRNA". It matches the Rfam family "Bacterial small subunit ribosomal RNA". The record is from RNAcentral.